Molecule: ribosomal RNA, 468 nt
Filed under: uncultured bacterium
Lineage: Bacteria
Description: bacterial SSU rRNA
Rfam family: Bacterial small subunit ribosomal RNA
Source: RNAcentral
GAUGAACGCUGGCGGCGUGCUUAACACAUGCAAGUCGAACGAAGCACUUUAUUACGAUUUCUUCGGAAUGACGAUUUAGUGACUGAGUGGCGGACGGGUGAGUAACGCGUGGGUAACCUGCCUUAUACAGGGGGAUAACAGUUAGAAAUGACUGCUAAUACCGCAUAAGCGCACAGGAUUGCAUGAUCUGGUGUGAAAAACUCCGGUGGUAUAAGAUGGACCCGCGUCUGAUUAGCUGGUUGGUGAGGUAACGGCCCACCAAGGCGACGAUCAGUAGCCGACCUGAGAGGGUGACCGGCCACAUUGGGACUGAGACACGGCCCAAACUCCUACGGGAGGCAGCAGUGGGGAAUAUUGCACAAUGGGGGAAACCCUGAUGCAGCGACGCCGCGUGAGCGAAGAGUAUUUCGGUAUGUAAAGCUCUAUCAGCAGGGAAGAUAGUGACGGUACCUGACUAAGAAGCUCCGG